Molecule: ribosomal RNA, 460 nt
Filed under: uncultured bacterium
Lineage: Bacteria
Description: partial 16S ribosomal RNA
Rfam family: Bacterial small subunit ribosomal RNA
Source: RNAcentral
CCUACGGGUGGCAGCAGUGAGGAAUAUUGGUCAAUGGCCGCAAGGCUGAACCAGCCAAGCCGCGUGAAGGACGAAUGUGCCAAGCAUUGUAAACUUCUUUUGUCAAGGUACAAAAUCAGGCACGAGAGCCUGAUCGUGUGUACUUGAUGAAAAAGCAUCGGCUAACUCCGUGCCAGCAGCCGCGGUAAUACGGAGGAUGCGAGCGUUAUCCGGAUUUAUUUGGUUUAAAGGGUGCGUAAGUGGGAUAUUAAGUCAGCUGUGAAAGGUUGGGGCUCAAACCGAAGCUAGCGUGUGAAACUGGCUGUCGUGAGAUGUGUAGAGGUAGGCGGAAUGCGCAGUGUAGCGGUGAAAUGCUUAGAUAUUGCGCAGAACUCCGAUUGCGAAGGCAGCAUACCGGCGGGGAUCUGACGCUGAGGCACGAAAGCGUGGGUAUCGAACAGGAUUAGAUACCCCGGUAGUC